Molecule: ribosomal RNA, 256 nt
Filed under: uncultured bacterium
Lineage: Bacteria
Description: partial 16S ribosomal RNA
Rfam family: Bacterial small subunit ribosomal RNA
Source: RNAcentral
UACGAAGGGGGCUAGCGUUGUUCGGAUUUACUGGGCGUAAAGCGCACGUAGGCGGAUCGUUAAGUCGGGGUGAAAUCCUGGAGCUCAACUCCAGAACUGCCUUCGAUACUGGCGAUCUUGAGUCCGGAAGAGGUGAGUGGAACUCCCUAGUGUAGAGGUGGAAUUCGUAGAUAUUAGGAAGAACACCAGUGGCGAAAGGCGGCCUCCACUGGUCCGGUACUGACGCUGAGGUGCGAAAGCGUGGGGAGCAAACAGG